AUGUUUUUAAAGCUUUAGUGAACGUGGAACACAUCACCUGAGAUAACAACCCCGCAGCCGAUUCAAUCCAACACCUCAAACUACUGCAGGAAGCACGUCAUAUACCGUUUCGUGAAACGAUAAUUUUUUCGACGAAAAAAACAAUUUCCAUCUCCUGUUCCGACUUUUUUUUCAAAUCUCCUCUCAAUCGCGCAAUCUCCACGAAGUGUAGAUCCAAAGGCUCGUGAGCCGCACAGUCGAGGAACAGACAGAGAAUACUUUUGUAAUCCGAGUAGAAUCAAGUUUGUUCUCAGUCUGAUCGAAGUCGUAGCGAAGUGCGGGCGUGUCUCGUUUAACACCCCCUACCCUAAAGGUGGAAAGUGUCUCCCGAGCUUGGGAGAAAUAAUGGCGAGUGAUGAAAGAGAAAUUAAAAAAAAGAGAUAAUGCUCGAAUCGAAUCCACAGGAUUGUUUUUACCUUCGUCGAGUCUGCGGUCGAUCUAUCUCCGAAAUUAUCGCAUUGUCCUUUUCACGGUGAGAGUCGGAGAAUUGGAUGUACUUUCUGAUCUUAUACGUAACUUCGAUGGUGAUAAUUUCGCGAAGAUUUAAAUUCGGGUAUUAAUCUCAGGGUCCAAAAAUUGGAUAAAAUCUCACGUGAAAUAUGGAGUUCGAAGAGCUGGAGAUAAUAUCGUUACGUUAAAAGUAACCAGCUGGCAUUUUGCGCGCGUAUUAAAAAGAGAAAAGUAAAAUGCGGAAGAAAAGGAGUAGAAAAAAAAAAAAGCACAUGUAUAAAAAGAAGAAGGAGAAGAAGGAUGGAAUAUAAAGGGGGCUGGAACAAGGAUAAGGAAGAAAAGAUAAGAAAUAUGCUGACUUCCAAAAGACAAAGUUUCCCAUCUAAACGAAGCGACGUUACCAACCCGUUCUUGGUCGAGCCCGUUUGGAAAAUGUAGCAGCAGUAGCAGCAGCUUAGAAAAGACUGACAAAAUGUGCCGGCACUUAAUACCGACCUUGAAGUAGUGGAAGAGCUUAUUUAAUUUUCUUGGUGAAAAUUCCCGGUGAUAUCUCACCUCUUAAAAACGUGACCGAAAUGAGGAAGGAAGAAAAAGAAAUAAAAUGAAAUGAAAAUACCAGGAUAAAUUUAUCCCGACAUUUUUCACUAUAUAAAAUAAUAUAUGAUUUCGAAGAGUUUUUUUUCCCCGAGGGUGAACCGACUUUGAGAAUCGCUCACACGUAGGUACAUCGGAAUAUCCGGCAGACGUUUCGCCUUACUUAUUUCCCAUUAACCGGCUUCGUCGAUGGUAACGACAGCAAUGGCAACGGUACGUUCAAUUCCGGAGGCUGAAGUGUUCUCGAAUUAGGUAAAAAGGUAAAAGAAGGGAAACUAGAAACAAAAAAGGAAGAAAAAAAAAAAAAAAGGUGAAACAGAAGCUAUUUCCGAUAAAGUAAAUACGGCAAAUAAAUAUUUUCCAGUUCACGUGGAUAUAUCCCCCGAGCUUCCAGUGUAUAGCGGCAACACCUCAAGGAUAACUCGAAGCUGCGUCUUCUUUCCGCGGUUUUUUUUUUUUUUUUUUUUUCUUUUUUUUUCUCCUCUUCGACGAGACGUCGAGUAAAGAGGAUUGGAUUUCUUUUACGUCGAUAGGAUGAGCAAUUUAGGUUGGGUAAGGUUGGCUCGGAUAAGUUUCGAUACGUAUCCAGCAAAUUCAAGUAGGUAUACCGUACGCCGUACGAAACGCACUAUCUCAUGAAAUAUAAUAAGAAUAUGUAAAGAGAAUGGAGGACAAAAAAAAAAUGUCAAUUUCUACGGAUGUCCCUGAGGAGGUUAAGGUCACACGACGACGAGAAGAUUCUUCCUCUUUUUGUGGACGAGAAGAGAGAGAACAAGGGAGAGGAGAAAAUGUUGAUUGAACGUCGACGUUGUUUUUUCUUCGUCAUUCCGAUUCUCCUCGAGUGUCUCUCGCGAACAUCAUCGUAUACGUAUGUUUUAUCCCAAAUUAUUGUUGUUGUUGUUGUUGUCGUUGUUCGGGGGAGAAAAAUCUUGCCUUGUCAUAAUCCCUAUGCUCGUUACGAUUCCAUGCAACCGACAAACGUCGCGUAUCCUAGACUCGAAAGUCUGCUGGGAAAUCAAACGACUACCGUGCAACAGGGUGCUGCGACACGAAGGGAAAAAAAAUAGAGGGAAAAGAGAAAAGUAAUGGAGAAAGAAGAACAUCGUGUAACGAAGAAAACUUACACGAAUAUUAAAGUUCUGUGAUUCACACUCGGAGAUUCACGGAGAACUGAAUCACGGGAAUUCGUAUAAUUAAAUCGAAGGGGAGAUUCUAGGUGAAAAAUUAUAGUCGUCCAAUUCGCUGUAUCCUAAUGUUAUAUUCUAACUUGGGAAACACGAAUCCGUCGACUGAAUUAAGCCACGACCAACACCGAUGGAGAUAUCUCCAGUUUUUUUGCUUUAAAAAGCAAAAAAUAAAUCUCCUCGCACUAACUUCACUGUUAGUUUUCACUAGUUUUCAAUUAGUAGGACCUAAUAGUUUCAAUAUUUAUUCGAGUGAACAAACGAGAAAUCGAUCAACUCGACGCCAUAACUUAGGGUGACGUAAUACGAUAACUAACCAGGAAUUUUAUACAAGUUGUUUUUAUAAUUCUUAUUUUGGAUCGUUAAACUUGUCGAUGCCGCUGCAGGAGGGGCUGACUGUGCACUAAUAAUUGCGGUAGAGCUUUUCUACCUUUUCAUUAGAAAUUCUAAUCAUGGCGUAAUUCGCCCAUUAACAGUUGGGGGUUUUCUACCGGUUGUACCCUAAUAAGAUUUUACUUGGUAAGUCGUUCGUUUCUCUCCAAGUUGCCGAUCAACUGUUGCGUAACGUAAUUUUACGGAUAACGAAUAUAUUAGCAAAUUUCA
This is a long non-coding RNA of Athalia rosae (coleseed sawfly), 2870 nucleotides long. RefSeq lists it as uncharacterized. The transcript is spliced from 3 exons. NCBI's taxonomy places the organism in Eukaryota, Metazoa, Arthropoda, Insecta, Hymenoptera, Athaliidae. The record is from RefSeq and is a predicted model, not a curated record.